AUUGAACGCUGGCGGCAGGCCUAACACAUGCAAGUCGAGCGGAUGAAGGGAGCUUGCUCCUGGAUUCAGCGGCGGACGGGUGAGUAAUGCCUAGGAAUCUGCCUGGUAGUGGGGGAUAACGUCCGGAAACGGGCGCUAAUACCGCAUACGUCCUGAGGGAGAAAGUGGGGGAUCUUCGGACCUCACGCUAUCAGAUGAUCCUAGGUCGGAUUAGCUAGUUGGUGGGGUAAAGGCCUACCAAGGCCACGAUCCGUAACUGGUCUGAGAGGAUGAUCAGUCACACUGGAACUGAGACACGGUCCAGACUCCUACGGGAGGCAGCAGUGGGGAAUAUUGGACAAUGGGCGAAAGCCUGAUCCAGCCAUGCCGCGUGUGUGAAGAAGGUCUUCGGAUUGUAAAGCACUUUAAGUUGGGAGGAAGGGCAGUAAGUUAAUACCUUGCUGUUUUGACGUUACCAACAGAAUAAGCACCGGCUAACUUCGUG
This 484-nucleotide ribosomal RNA is filed under the name uncultured bacterium. Its description in RNAcentral is "partial 16S ribosomal RNA". It matches the Rfam family "Bacterial small subunit ribosomal RNA", at positions 30 to 507 of the family's 1533-position model. The record is from RNAcentral.